AGAUUAAGUUAUUAAGGGCGCACGGUGGAUGCCUUGGCACUAGAAGCCGAUGAAGGACGUUACUAACGACGAUAUGCUUUGGGGAGCUGUAAGUAAGCUUUGAUCCAGAGAUUUCCGAAUGGGGAAACCCAGCAUGAGUUAUGUCAUGUUAUCGAUAUGUGAAUACAUAGCAUAUCAGAAGGCACACCCGGAGAACUGAAACAUCUUAGUACCCGGAGGAAGAGAAAGAAAAUUCGAUUCCCUUAGUAGCGGCGAGCGAAAUGGGAAGAGCCCAAACCAACAAGCUUGCUUGUUGGGGUUGUAGGACACUCUAUACGGAGUUACAAAGGACGACAUUAGACGAAUCAUCUGGAAAGAUGAAUCAAAGAAGGUAAUAAUCCUGUAGUCGAAAAUGUUGUCUCUCUUGAGUGGAUCCUGAGUACGACGGAGCACGUGAAAUUCCGUCGGAAUCUGGGAGGACCAUCUCCUAAGGCUAAAUACUCUCUAGUGACCGAUAGUGAACCAGUACCGUGAGGGAAAGGUGAAAAGCACCCCGGAAGGGGAGUGAAAUAGAACCUGAAACCGUGUGCUUACAAGUAGUCAGAGCCCGUUAAUGGGUGAUGGCGUGCCUUUUGUAGAAUGAACCGGCGAGUUACGAUUUGAUGCAAGGUUAAGCAGUAAAUGUGGAGCCGUAGCGAAAGCGAGUCUGAAUAGGGCGUUUAGUAUUUGGUCGUAGACCCGAAACCAGGUGAUCUACCCUUGGUCAGGUUGAAGUUCAGGUAACACUGAAUGGAGGACCGAACCGACUUACGUUGAAAAGUGAGCGGAUGAACUGAGGGUAGCGGAGAAAUUCCAAUCGAACCUGGAGAUAGCUGGUUCUCUCCGAAAUAGCUUUAGGGCUAGCCUCAAGUGAUGAUUAUUGGAGGUAGAGCACUGUUUGGACGAGGGGCCCCUCUCGGGUUACCGAAUUCAGACAAACUCCGAAUGCCAAUUAAUUUAACUUGGGAGUCAGAACAUGGGUGAUAAGGUCCGUGUUCGAAAGGGAAACAGCCCAGACCACCAGCUAAGGUCCCAAAAUAUAUGUUAAGUGGAAAAGGAUGUGGCGUUGCCCAGACAACUAGGAUGUUGGCUUAGAAGCAGCCAUCAUUUAAAGAGUGCGUAAUAGCUCACUAGUCGAGUGACACUGCGCCGAAAAUGUACCGGGGCUAAACAUAUUACCGAAGCUGUGGAUUGUCCUUUGGACAAUGGUAGGAGAGCGUUCUAAGGGCGUUGAAGCAUGAUCGUAAGGACAUGUGGAGCGCUUAGAAGUGAGAAUGCCGGUGUG
Molecule: ribosomal RNA, 1303 nt
Filed under: Staphylococcus aureus
Lineage: Bacteria; Bacillati; Bacillota; Bacilli; Caryophanales; Staphylococcaceae
Description: partial 23S ribosomal RNA
Rfam family: Bacterial large subunit ribosomal RNA
Source: RNAcentral